This 253-nucleotide ribosomal RNA is filed under the name uncultured bacterium. RNAcentral's name for it is "partial 16S ribosomal RNA". It matches the Rfam family "Bacterial small subunit ribosomal RNA", at positions 524 to 776 of the family's 1533-position model. The record is from RNAcentral.
UACGUAGGGACCAAGCGUUGUUCGGAUUUACUGGGCGUAAAGGGAGCGUAGGCGGCAAUUCAAGUCAGUUGUGAAAUCUUCGAGCUUAACUCGGAACGGUCAGCUGAUACUGCUUUGCUAGAGUACAGAAGGGGCAAUCGGAAUUCUUGGUGUAGCGGUGAAAUGCGUAGAUAUCAAGAGGAACACCUGAGGUGAAGACGGGUUGCUGGGCUGAUACUGACGCUGAGGCUCGAAAGCCAGGGGAGCAAACGGG